AGUCUCAGCUGUAAAAAUAGAGUCCCCAGGGAAUACUGAUAGCCUUUUUCCAAUAAAGCGAAAUCUAUUUGCAAUAAUAGGUAUAUGCAAAGACCUCCUGAAAUUACAGGAGCAAACUCCUUCCGCAUCUCGACCUAAUUAAGAUCCGUUACUCAACAGUGAUCAGUCAGAUUUUACUGUAAGAAGGAAGAAAACAAGGAUCCUGCUAGAACAACAUGGAAACAGGCUGAUCUUAGGACCUACAACAAAGAGAUUUCUCACUGGCUUCCUGGUGGUUCAUUCAAUAGGGAAUUCCUGCAGCAAGUUGGAGGGAGGGAGGAGAAGCAG
RNAcentral lists this long non-coding RNA (327 nucleotides) under Homo sapiens (human). RNAcentral describes it as "non-protein coding lnc-GALC-2:3". The record is from RNAcentral. Lineage: Eukaryota; Metazoa; Chordata; Mammalia; Primates; Hominidae.